CAGAGGUGGCAAGCGUUGUCCGGAUUUACUGGGCGUAAAGGAUGCGUAGGUGGAUAUUUAAGUCAGAUGUGAAAUACCCGAGCUUAACUUGGGUGCUGCAUUUGAAACUGGAUAUCUAGAGUGCAGGAGAGGUAAGUGGAAUUCCUAGUGUAGCGGUGAAAUGCGUAGAGAUUAGGAAGAACACCAGUGGCGAAGGCGACUUACUGGACUGUAACUGACACUGAGGCAUGAAAGCGUGGGGAGCAAACAGGAUUAGAUACCCUGGUAGUCCACGCCGUAAACGAUGAGUACUAGGUGUAGGAGGUAUCGACUCCUUCUGUGCCGCAGUUAACACAAUAAGUACUCCGCCUGGGAAGUACGGUCGCAAGAUUA
Molecule: ribosomal RNA, 372 nt
Filed under: uncultured organism
Description: bacterial SSU rRNA
Rfam family: Bacterial small subunit ribosomal RNA
Source: RNAcentral